RNAcentral lists this ribosomal RNA (323 nucleotides) under uncultured Euglypha. RNAcentral's name for it is "SSU rRNA". The stretch from base 111 to 323 matches the Rfam family "Eukaryotic small subunit ribosomal RNA", at positions 741 to 955 of the family's 1831-position model. Lineage: Eukaryota; Cercozoa; Imbricatea; Euglyphida; Euglyphidae. The record is from RNAcentral.
GAUUUCUGACGAACCGGAGUGGCCCGUAUCCUUUCGGGUAUGAGUGCCGCUUUGAGUUUGUCAUCCUUCCAGAGAGCUGCGUCUACCGUUUACUCGGCCGGACGUAUGCGAUCUGGAUCUAUUACUUUGAAAAAAUUAGAGUGUUUAAAGCAGGCUUAUGCUAUGAAUACAUUAGCAUGGAAUAAUAAUUUAGGACUUCGGUUCUAUUUUGUUGGUUUCUAGGACUGAAGUAAUGAUUGAUAGGGAUAGUUGGGGGUGCUAGUAUUCCGCGGCCAGAGGUGAAAUUCUUGGAUUCGCGGAAGACUAACUACUGCGAAAGCAUU